UGAGUACGAGCUGCUACGGCAGCGAAGUGGGUGACGUCAAGCUUCCAAGAAAAGCCCUAUACCCGUUAAGGCAUGAUGGCCUGUACCCGAAACCGACACAGGUGGGGUGGUAGAGAAUACCGAGGGGCGCGAGGUAACUCUCUCUAAGGAACUCGGCAAAAUGGCCCCGUAACUUCGGGAGAAGGGGUGCCACCGCAAGGUGGUCGCAGUGAAGAGGCCCAGGCGACUGUUUACCAAAAACACAGGUCUCCGCUAAGUCGCAAGACGAUGUAUGGGGGCUGACGCCUGCCCAGUGCCGGAAGGUUAAGGAAGUUGGUCAGCGAAAGCGAAGCUAGCGACUGAAGCCCCGGUGAACGGCGGCCGUAACAAUAACGGUCCUAAGGUAGCGAAAUUCCUUGUCGGGUAAGUUCCGACCCGCACGAAAGGCGUAACGAUCUGGGCGCUGUCUCGGAGAGAGUCUCGGCGAAAUAGAAUUGUCUGUGAAGAUGCGGACUACGUGCACCCGGACAGAAAGACCCUAUGAAGCUUUACUGUAGCUUGGUAUUGUGCCCGGGCUCUGAAUGCGCAGGAUAGGUGGGAGGCUUUGAUCCAUGGCUUGCGGGUCAUGGUGAGCCAACGGUGAGAUACCACUCUUUCAGAGCUAGGGUUCUAACGGUCACCCGUUAUCCGGGGACCGGACAGUAUCUGGUGGGCAGUUUGACUGGGGCGGUCGCCUCCUAAAAGGUAACGGAGGCGCGCAAAGGUUUGCUCAGGCUGGUUGGAAAUCAGCCGACGAGUGUAAAAGCAGAAGCAAGCUUGACUGUGAGACCAACAAGUCGAACAGGGACGAAAGUCGGCUUUAGUGAUCCGACGGUUCUGAGUGGAAGGGCCGUCGCUCAACGGAUAAAAGUUACUCUAGGAUAACAGGCUGAUCUCCCCCAAGAGUUCACAUCGACGGGGAGGUUUGGCACCUCGAUGUCGGCUCAUCGCAACCUGGGGCUGAAGUCGGUCCCAAGGGUUGGGCUGUUCGGCCAUUAAAGCGGUACGCGAGCUGGGUUCAGAACGUCGUGAGACAGUUCGGUCCAUAUCCGGUGCAUGCGCAGGAAUAUUGAGAGGAGUUCUCCCUAGUACGAGAGGACCGGGAGGAACGCACCUCUGGUGUACCAGUUAUCGUGCCAACGGUAAACGCUGGGUAGCCAUGUGCGGAGAGGAUAACCGCUGAAAGCAUCUAAGUGGGAAGCCCACCUCAAGAUGAGUAUUCCCAUGGCAUAAGCCAGUAAGGUCACGGGAAGAACACCCGUUGAUAGGCUCUACGUGGAAGCGCAGUAAUGCGUGAAGCGGAGGAGUACUAAUAGACCGAGGGCUUGACC
This 1349-nucleotide ribosomal RNA is filed under the name metagenome. Its description in RNAcentral is "bacterial LSU rRNA". It matches the Rfam family "Bacterial large subunit ribosomal RNA", at positions 1564 to 2925 of the family's 2925-position model. The record is from RNAcentral.